RNAcentral lists this ribosomal RNA (510 nucleotides) under uncultured bacterium. RNAcentral's name for it is "partial 16S ribosomal RNA". It matches the Rfam family "Bacterial small subunit ribosomal RNA", at positions 28 to 507 of the family's 1533-position model. The record is from RNAcentral.
GACGAACGCUGGCGGCGUGCUUAACACAUGCAAGUCGAACGAAGAGCGAUGGAAGCUUGCUUCUAUCAAUCUUAGUGGCGAACGGGUGAGUAACGCGUAAUCAACCUGCCCUUCAGAGGGGGACAACAGUUGGAAACGACUGCUAAUACCGCAUACGAUCUAAUCUCGGCAUCGAGGAUAGAUGAAAGGUGGCCUCUACAUGUAAGCUAUCACUGAAGGAGGGGAUUGCGUCUGAUGAGCUAGUUGGAGGGGUAACGGCCCACCAAGGCGAUGAUCAGUAGCCGGUCUGAGAGGAUGAACGGCCACAUUGGGACUGAGACACGGCCCAGACUCCUACGGGAGGCAGCAGUGGGGAAUCUUCCGCAAUGGACGAAAGUCUGACGGAGCAACGCCGCGUGAGUGAUGACGGCCUUCGGGUUGUAAAGCUCUGUUAAUCGGGACGAAAGGCCUUCUUGCGAAUAGUGAGAAGGAUUGACGGUACCGGAAUAGAAAGCCACGGCUAACUACGUG